This 72-nucleotide transfer RNA is filed under the name Synapturanus sp. MZUSP 159215. Its description in RNAcentral is "tRNA-Gln". It matches the Rfam family "tRNA". Rfam says of the family: Transfer RNA (tRNA) molecules are approximately 80 nucleotides in length. Their secondary structure includes four short double-helical elements and three loops (D, anti-codon, and T loops). The record is from RNAcentral. Lineage: Eukaryota; Metazoa; Chordata; Amphibia; Anura; Microhylidae.
UAGAGAGUAGCAUAGUUGGGAGUGCAGAGGUUUUUGAUUUCUCAGGCACAGGUUCGACUCCUGUCUUUUUAA